UUUUUUUUUUUUUUUUUUGGGUUUUUUCCCGUCAGGCGAACGCUGGCGGCGUGCUUAACACAUGCAAGUCGAACGGAAAGGCCCUUCGGGGUGCUCGAGUGGCGAACGGGUGAGUAACACGUGGGUGAUCUGCCCUGCACUUUGGGAUAAGCCUGGGAAACUGGGUCUAAUACCGAAUAGGACUCCGGCCUUCAUGGGUUGGGGUGGAAAGCUUUUGCGGUGUGGGAUGGGCCCGCGGCCUAUCAGCUUGUUGGUGGGGUAAUGGCCUACCAAGGCGACGACGGGUAGCCGGCCUGAGAGGGUGACCGGCCACACUGGGACUGAGAUACGGCCCAGACUCCUACGGGAGGCAGCAGUGGGGAAUAUUGCACAAUGGGCGCAAGCCUGAUGCAGCGACGCCGCGUGAGGGAUGACGGCCUUCGGGUUGUAAACCUCUUUCAGCACAGACGAAGCGCAAGUGACGGUAUGUGCAGAAGAAGGACCGGCCAACUACGUGCCAGCAGCCGCGGUAAUACGUAGGGUCCGAGCGUUGUCCGGAAUUACUGGGCGUAAAGAGCUCGUAGGUGGUUUGUCGCGUUGUUCGUGAAAACUCACAGCUUAACUGUGGGCGUGCGGGCGAUACGGGCAGACUGGAGUACUGCAGGGGAGACUGGAAUUCCUGGUGUAGCGGUGGAAUGCGCAGAUAUCAGGAGGAACACCGGUGGCGAAGGCGGGUCUCUGGGCAGUAACUGACGCUGAGAGCGAAAAGACGGG
Molecule: ribosomal RNA, 753 nt
Filed under: Mycolicibacterium wolinskyi
Lineage: Bacteria; Bacillati; Actinomycetota; Actinomycetes; Mycobacteriales; Mycobacteriaceae
Description: bacterial SSU rRNA
Rfam family: Bacterial small subunit ribosomal RNA
Source: RNAcentral